UGUCCGGUGGUGUAACGGAAGCACGGCGAUCUGAUACGUCGGCGGCGGUGGUUCAACUCCACCCCGGACUA
RNAcentral lists this transfer RNA (71 nucleotides) under Planctomycetota bacterium. RNAcentral's name for it is "Planctomycetes bacterium tRNA-Ile". It matches the Rfam family "tRNA". Rfam says of the family: Transfer RNA (tRNA) molecules are approximately 80 nucleotides in length. Their secondary structure includes four short double-helical elements and three loops (D, anti-codon, and T loops). Further hydrogen bonds mediate the characteristic L-shaped molecular structure. tRNAs have two regions of fundamental functional importance: the anti-codon, which is responsible for specific mRNA codon recognition, and the 3' end, to which the tRNAs corresponding amino acid is attached (by aminoacyl-tRNA synthetases). tRNAs cope with the degeneracy of the genetic code in two manners: having more than one tRNA (with a specific anti-codon) for a particular amino acid; and 'wobble' base-pairing, i.e. permitting non-standard base-pairing at the 3rd anti-codon position. The record is from RNAcentral. Lineage: Bacteria; Pseudomonadati; Planctomycetota.